GAUGAACGCUGGCGGCGUGCCUAAUACAUGCAAGUCGAGCGAACAGACGAGGAGCUUGCUCCUCUGACGUUAGCGGCGGACGGGUGAGUAACACGUGGAUAACCUACCUAUAAGACUGGGAUAACUUCGGGAAACCGGAGCUAAUACCGGAUAAUAUAUUGAACCGCAUGGUUCAAUAGUGAAAGACGGUUUUGCUGUCACUUAUAGAUGGAUCCGCGCCGCAUUAGCUAGUUGGUAAGGUAACGGCUUACCAAGGCGACGAUGCGUAGCCGACCUGGGAGGGUGAUCGGCCACACUGGAACUGAGACACGGUCCAGACUCCUACGGGAGGCAGCAGUAGGGAAUCUUCCGCAAUGGGCGAAAGCCUGACGGAGCAACGCCGCGUGAGUGAUGAAGGUCUUCGGAUCGUAAAACUCGGUUAUUAGGGAAGAACAAAUGUGUAAGUAACUAUGCACGUCUUGACGGUACCUAAUCAGAAAGCCACGGCUAACUACGUG
This 497-nucleotide ribosomal RNA is filed under the name uncultured bacterium. Its description in RNAcentral is "partial 16S ribosomal RNA". It matches the Rfam family "Bacterial small subunit ribosomal RNA", at positions 28 to 507 of the family's 1533-position model. The record is from RNAcentral.